RNAcentral lists this ribosomal RNA (465 nucleotides) under Bos taurus (domestic cattle). RNAcentral's name for it is "similar to 16S ribosomal RNA". It matches the Rfam family "Bacterial small subunit ribosomal RNA", at positions 445 to 1019 of the family's 1533-position model. Lineage: Eukaryota; Metazoa; Chordata; Mammalia; Artiodactyla; Bovidae. The record is from RNAcentral.
AAAAUUAAGCCAUAAACGAAAGUUUGACUAAGUUAUAUUAAUUAGGGUUGGUAAAUCUCGGUGCCAGCCACCGGCGGUCAUACGAUUAACCCAAGCUAACAGGAGUUCGGCGGUAAAACGUGGUUAAAGCACCCAUACCCAAAUAGGGUUAAAUUCUAACUAAGCUGGUAAAAAGCCCAUGGAUUAAAAUAAAAAUAAAUGGACGAAAGUGGANCCUACAAUAGCCGACGCACUAUAGCUAAGGANCCAAACUGGGAUUAGAUACCCCANUAUGCUUAGCCCUAAACACAGAUUAUUACAUAAACAAAAUUAUUCGCCAGAGUACUACUAGCAACAGCUUAAAACUCAAAGGACUUGGCGGUGCUUUAUAUCCUUCUAGAGGAGCCUGUUCUAUAAUCGAUAAACCCGAUAACCUCACCAAUUCUUGCUAAUACAGUCUAUAUACCGCCAUCUUCAGCAAACCCU